This 1582-nucleotide long non-coding RNA is filed under the name Rattus norvegicus (Norway rat). Its description in RNAcentral is "long non-coding RNA NONRATT004171". Lineage: Eukaryota; Metazoa; Chordata; Mammalia; Rodentia; Muridae. The record is from RNAcentral.
AAUCUUGCUCACUCCACCAUCAAGAGAACCAAGCUUACUCAUGCUGGAGUCCUAAAUAUUAACUCUGUAUCGGGGCCCAAAAACCCAAACAAAGCAAACCGACAAAGGUAUGCUAUUCCGGGCUCCCAAAUCGCACAGGGGUCUGUACCAGCAAGACCCCCUCAUGAUUGGAAAGUUCUACAUUCAGUCAACAGGUAAAAUGCUUUGGAGUUCAGUGUGAAAGGAAACUGGGAGAGAGGAAGGGAAGGUUGAGGCUUCAAACUCAGCUUUCCAUGGGAAAGUUUGCUUUCAACUGGGAAGUGUUCUUAAAGAAUCCAUAGCAAAGAUCCAGCCAGCAAGGCUCUGAGGGGGCGUGUUCCUGCUGACCUUUGCCCUUCUGUUUCUGUACGUAGUUAUAAAUACUGUAGAUUUCUUUUGUGAUUUUUUUUUUGCCAAAGUUGUUGUUUUAUUUAUACAUUUUAAUGUCUUAAGGUGAUUUUCGAUCUCACACACAAAGGAUUUUGCCGCAUAUUUUGCAAAUAAAUAAAAAGCGCGCUACCUUUAGCUUGCACAUACUUGCAAAGUUAAUUCAAAGGCUUUCUGUUUGUUUGUUUUAAUGGGGAUUUUGUAAAAUAUCCAUAUAAAUAAUGUAUUUAUCUCUGGAAUUUGUACAUUGCUUUUCUCUCCUUCCUCCAACCCCCCCCCAGCCCCAGUUUAUUUUGUGUGUGUGUUUGCUUUGUGAACAGUGCGCGCAUAUAGUUUCGUCGCCUAUGGUUGUAUUAACUGUUUCAAUGUGAUUUUUAAACAAUUCAUUUAUAGGUAUUUUUAGUAUUGUUUUAAACCAUGCUUCAUUUUUUUUUAUUUCCACCCAAAAGCCAUUGUCUAUUUUUGUAUUAUUUGUAAGUUAAGAAGUUUUUUCCAAUAUAUGGCAAAAAAAAUUAGUAGCAUAUUAUUCUUGUAGUAUUUAGUUCUGUAGAUUUAAAAAUAAUGUAUCCUUUGCUUUGGAAGCAUACAAAAAAUGCUGUUUUACUCUAUUAAUAUGCAUGGAAUCUCUCCCUUUGGAGUGACGCAUUUUGUGCAUUAAAUUUGGGGGAGAAACUUCAUAGAGAUCAAUGGACAUACUUUCUUUCUUAAGUCUGCUUGUAUAUUCUCUGUCUUUCACAUAAAUAUAAACCAGCAGAUUGGAUGCCUUAACAAUGCAAGUCACACCCAUUUCACCUGUACAUUGUACUGUGCACCCCCACCGUCAGCCAUCACUCACAUCUAAGAAAAAAAACAAAGAAAAAGAAGAAAAAAAAGAGAAAUGGAAAAGCACAAACGAACUGUUUUGUAACUUUAAGACAAUGUUACUUUUUCUAGUAGAGCAAGUGAACAUUAACGAUGCUGCGACUGUGCAUGCCCCGUAUGGAUUUCAACGGUUUUCACUAGACUGUCAGAGUGCGGAUUUUUAUGGGUUGGGGAGGGCAGGGGAGGGGAGUUGGGAGGGGGGACUGGUAGGGAAGGGGAGGGAGGAAAGCCGAUUUUUCAUGGUGAGAAAUAAUAAUAAUGACAACUGAUGAUAAUAAUAAUAAUAAUAAAAAGAAACUGGAAAAAAUAUAAGCAA